Molecule: long non-coding RNA, 391 nt
Filed under: Hordeum vulgare
Lineage: Eukaryota; Viridiplantae; Streptophyta; Magnoliopsida; Poales; Poaceae
Description: long non-coding RNA (HVUL_LNC005050)
Source: RNAcentral
GGGCACUGGCUGGGCUGUGGAAGACGCAAAGGACAAGAUCUCCAAGCUCCUUGAGGAGUACAACACCGGCGGGGACCUGAAGGAAGCCUGCCAGUGUAUCCGUGACCUUGGGAUGCCCUUCUUCAACCAUGAAGUGGUGAAGAAAGCGCUGGUGAUGGCGAUGGAGAAGCAGAAUGAAGCUAGCAUCUUGGCUCUCUUGCAGGAGUGCUCCGGGGAGGGGCUGAUAACCAUCAACCAGAUGACCAACGGUUUUGCUCGUGUCAAGGAAGGCCUCGACGAUCUGACCCUUGACAUCCCAAACGCGCAGGAGAAGUUCAGAGGCUACGUGGAGCUUGCGACAGAGCGCGGCUGGCUGCUACCUUCCUUCGCCUCCCUGCCCUGAGCUCUUCCC